GACGAACGCUGGCGGCGUGCUUAACACAUGCCAGUCGAACGGAAAGGCCCUGCUUUUGUGGGGUGCUCGAGUGGCGAACGGGUGAGUAACACGUGAGUAACCUGCCCUUGACUUUGGGAUAACUUCAGGAAACUGGGGCUAAUACCGGAUAGGAUCUCCUGCUGCAUGGUGUGGGUUGGUAAGUUUCGGCGGUUGGGGAUGGACUCGCGGCUUAUCAGCUUGUUGGUGGGGUAGUGGCUUACCAAGGCUUUGACGGGUAGCCGGCCUGAGAGGGUGACCGGGGAAAUUGGGAAUGAGAGAGGGCCCAGAAUGCAACGGGAGGCAGCAGUGGGGAAUAGUGAACAAUGGGCGGAAGCCAGAUGAAGAAAGGCGGGGUGCGGGAUGACGGCCUUGGGGUUGUAAACAGAUUUGGACUGUGACGAAGCGUGAGUGACGGUAAUGGGUAAAGAAGCACCGGCUAACUACGUG
RNAcentral lists this ribosomal RNA (468 nucleotides) under uncultured bacterium. RNAcentral's name for it is "partial 16S ribosomal RNA". It matches the Rfam family "Bacterial small subunit ribosomal RNA", at positions 28 to 507 of the family's 1533-position model. The record is from RNAcentral.